Molecule: ribosomal RNA, 1235 nt
Filed under: metagenome
Description: bacterial LSU rRNA
Rfam family: Bacterial large subunit ribosomal RNA
Source: RNAcentral
UGAAUACGAGAUGCUACGGCGUCGAAGCAGUCUAUGUCAUACUUCCAAGAAAAGCUCGCACUGUCAUAAACAAAUAAUGCCUGUACCAUAACCGACACAGGUGGGUAGGUAGAGUAUACUAAGGGGCGCGAGAUAACUCUCUCUAAGGAACUCGGCAAAAUGACUCCGUAACUUCGGGAGAAGGAGUGCCUUAUUUAUAAGGUUGCAAUAACAAGAUCCAAGCAACUGUUUAUCAAAAACACAGGUCUCCGCUAAGUCGUAAGACGAUGUAUGGGGGCUGACGCCUGCCCAGUGCCAGAAGGUUAAAGAAGUUGGUUAGCAUUCGCGAAGCUGAUAACUGAAGCCCUGGUGAACGGCGGCCGUAACGAUAACGGUCCUAAGGUAGCGAAAUUCCUUGUCGGGUAAGUUCCGACCCGCACGAAAGGCGUAAUGAUUUGGAUACUGUCUCGGAGAGGGGCUCGGUGAAAUAGACUUGUCCGUGAAGAUGCGGACUACCUGCACCAGGACAGAAAGGCCCUAUGAAGCUUUACUGUAACUUGAGAUUGAAAUUGGACUUUACUUGCGCAGUAUAGGUGGGAGGCGUUGAUAAUAUUCUUGCGGGAUUAUUUGAGCCAUCAGUGAGAUACCACUCUUGUAAUGUUAGAUUUCUAACUUUGUAUCAUUAUCUGGUCAAAGGACAGUUUCAGGCGGGCAGUUUGACUGGGGCGGUCGCCUCCUAAACGGUAACGGAGGCGCACAAAGGUUUCCUCUGAACGGGUAGAAAUCGUAUCUAGAGUGUAAAGGCAUAAGGAAGCUUGACUGUGAGACCUACAAGUCGAGCAGGGACGAAAGUCGGUCUUAGUGAUCUGACGGUGCUGAGUGGAAAGGCCGUCACUCAACGGAUAAAAGUUACUCUAAGGAUAACAGGCUGAUCUCCCCCAAGAGUUCACAUCGACGGGGAGGUUUGGCACCUCGAUGUCGGCUCAUCGCAUCCUGGGGCGGUAGUACGUCCCAAGGGUUGGGCUGUUCGCCCAUGAAAGCGGUACGCGAGCUGGGUUCAGAACGUCGUGAGACAGUUCGGUCCAUAUCCGGUGUAGGCGUUAGAAUAUUGAGAGGAGCCUUCUUUAGUACGAGAGGACCGAGAAGGACAUACCUCUGGUGUACCAGUUAUCGUGCCAACGGUAAACGCUGGGUAGCUAUGUAUGGAGUGGAUAACCGCUGAAAGCAUCUAAGUGGGAAGCCCACCUCAAGAUAAG